CCUGCGGAAGGAUCAUUAGUGAACUCUCGAGGGGGACACAGUUGCUGCUGGGCUUCUCGCAAGUCAUCGUGCACACGGUCUCUCCUCUCGUUCAAUCAAUCUACCCCUCUCUGUGCACCUCUCGUAGGCCGAGAACCCUCGGCUUAUGUACUUUCCACAACACAUCCCACUAUAUCAUCGAACGAACAGCUGUCCGAGCUCUGUCUCGACGCUAGCAAAAGAACACACAACUUUCAACAACGGAUCUCUUGGCUCUCGCAUCGAUGAAGAACGCAGCGAAAUGCGAUAAGUAAUGUGAAUUGCAGAAUUCAGUGAAUCAUCGAAUCUUUGAACGCACCUUGCGCCCCUCGGUACUCCGGGGGGCAUGCCUGUUUGAGUGUCAUCAGACCAUCAACCCGAAGGGCUUUCGAGCUCAUCGGUGUUUGGAGCUUGCGGUGUGCGGGAGAGGCUCUCGCGAGCCCCCUCCGCUCCUCGCGGAAUGCAUCAGCGGAUGUCCGACUGUGGACCGACCUUGGCGUGAUAAACAUCUAUGUCUCGGCUCGGGUCCCGCAUCUCUCGGGCUCUGCUUCGAACAGUCGCGCCAUGAAGUGCGACGGCCCAAUGACGACUUUGACCUCAAAUCAGGUAGGAU
Molecule: ribosomal RNA, 631 nt
Filed under: Cora sp. Spielmann 5173
Lineage: Eukaryota; Fungi; Basidiomycota; Agaricomycetes; Agaricales; Hygrophoraceae
Description: eukaryotic LSU rRNA
Rfam family: 5.8S ribosomal RNA (bases 229-382)
Source: RNAcentral